RNAcentral lists this ribosomal RNA (535 nucleotides) under uncultured bacterium. RNAcentral describes it as "partial 16S ribosomal RNA". It matches the Rfam family "Bacterial small subunit ribosomal RNA", at positions 355 to 883 of the family's 1533-position model. The record is from RNAcentral.
UGGGGAAUUUUGGACAAUGGGCGAAAGCCUGAUCCAGCCAUGCCGCGUGCAGGAUGAAGGCCUUCGGGUUGUAAACUGCUUUUGUACGGAACGAAAAGCCUCUUUCUAAUAAAGAGAGGUCAUGACGGUACCGUAAGAAUAAGCACCGGCUAACUACGUGCCAGCAGCCGCGGUAAUACGUAGGGUGCAAGCGUUAAUCGGAAUUACUGGGCGUAAAGCGUGCGCAGGCGGUUUUGUAAGACAGAGGUGAAAUCCCCGGGCUCAACCUGGGAACUGCCUUUGUGACUGCAAGGCUGGAGUGCGGCAGAGGGGGAUGGAAUUCCGCGUGUAGCAGUGAAAUGCGUAGAUAUGCGGAGGAACACCGAUGGCGAAGGCAAUCCCCUGGGCCUGCACUGACGCUCAUGCACGAAAGCGUGGGGAGCAAACAGGAUUAGAUACCCUGGUAGUCCACGCCCUAAACGAUGUCAACUGGUUGUUGGGUCUUCACUGACUCAGUAACGAAGCUAACGCGUGAAGUUGACCGCCUGGGGAGUAC